AACCCACAUGGACAAGAACUUUCCGGAACAGCUGUGUGUGGGCCAGCUGCUGACAGCAAGGCCGUCCCAGGCUUGAUGGAGUCACCUGGCAUGUGACUCCAGGUCCUGCCACCUCAGCAGGGCUGCCUCAGAGGCCCUCCAAAGGUGCCCAGCCCAAAGGACCUGCUCCCCGAAGGAGGCCAGUGGCCCCAGAGCUCCUUGCAGUGAGGAGACAGCCAACGGCUAAUAGGGUCCUGCUUCACACACAACAUUCCUGGCUGAAGUGGCCGUAUGCGGUCAGUGAAGAGGGUCAGCUGGUGCGUCCACAGAAAAGCCACAUGUGUCACAACCCGUUCCACAAGAAUCCUCCACGAGGGCACCCCGAGGCACCCAGGAGCCGCAACCCAGCAGGGGAGCGCCCUGGCCACCGGCCAGCCUGAGCCCCACCACAGCCCCAUGAGCAUGCUAUCAUGACUAACCUCAUGUUACAGAUAGGGAAACUGAGGCACAGAGGGAUUAAGCGAUGGCUUAAGAUUUCAACAGAGUGGGCGCAGGGAGGCCCAUGUGGAGCCCACACUCCUCUCCGUCCAGUAUAUCUGGACUGUAGAACAGCGGUGCCCCUGCUGAGCCAGGGGGAGGGGACGUCAGCUUAGUCCCGGGAUAUCGGUAUACUAUUUAACAGGGUCUUCUCCUUCACCUCAAAGAUCCUGAACAAUUUCAGGGAAACUUAAAACACUAAAAAUAUGUGAAAUCAUAGCUCUGAUCAAGUUUAUUUUCUAAAGGCAGACGAAUGCACGGCAAACUCUGUAUCAUAAACCACUGUAUUUCAAAUCACUGUAUAUCACAGAGCGUGCCAGACCCAGCAGUGACCCCAACAUAAACACGGUCUCGGGUGUCCAGGCUUGCUGACCCACGGCACCUCCCACACGCGCCCUCUAGUUACAGGGAUGGCGAACACCGCCCCUGUCCAGCGCAUGCGUUCCUUCUGUCCCACAAUGUUUUCUUCCUUAACCCACUCACAUGGAAACCCAACAGCCCUGCUUGGAAAUGCCAGGGAGAUGUUUUCAUCUACCAGGUGCAGAUGAAGCAGGACAUUUAACGAGAAGGCGCACCCUUGGCCGUCAACAAACGCCUGGCUCCAGGCUUAGGGCGGGGGCACCGUGGUUUCUGCUCUGUGCUCAGACGUGCAAAUCGGGGGCACAUUUCCGGGGUUUUAGUUGUUUGUUUCUCAUUUUGGUUUCUCUGGACCAAAACCACAUCUCAAGUAUCAACCCCAAUCCCUUUUGGAGUGACCAAGGUAGAAACAACGACCGUUUCCACUCCGUAGGAUGAGGAAUGAGGGGGCAGAGGCGACGCUGUCCCUCCCACCCAGGCCCCUCGUGGGGAGAAGCUGAGGACUGUGUGACACAGCUGUGCCGUGUGGAGAACUGGAAGCCAGCUGCCAUGGCAGACAGGCGCAGGUCCCUAGAUGCCAAGAUGCUACUGUCCUGAUGCAGCACCAGCGGCUUCGGGGCACAUGAAAGGGACAGAGAGAUGACAUCAGACACCAGGAAGAGGUCCACGGCGGCCCCAUUGAUGCCGUGCCGCUCGCAGAGCCCGCACAGGACCUCCUUGAUGGACAGCCCCG
Molecule: long non-coding RNA, 1606 nt
Organism: Hipposideros armiger (great roundleaf bat)
Lineage: Eukaryota; Metazoa; Chordata; Mammalia; Chiroptera; Hipposideridae
Exons: 3
Source: RefSeq, a predicted model, not a curated record